This 320-nucleotide ribosomal RNA is filed under the name uncultured eukaryote. RNAcentral's name for it is "partial 18S ribosomal RNA". It matches the Rfam family "Eukaryotic small subunit ribosomal RNA", at positions 1470 to 1796 of the family's 1831-position model. The record is from RNAcentral.
CCCUUAGAUGUUCUGGGCUGCACGCGCGCUACACUGACACACCCAGCGAGUCUCCUGCCCUGACAGGGUUGGGUAAUCAUUGGAGUGUGUGUCGUGAUGGGGAUAGAGUAUUGCAAUUAUUGCUCUCGAACGAGGAAUUCCUAGUAAGCACAAGUCAGCAGCCUGUGCUGAUUACGUCCCUGCCCUUUGUACACACCGCCCGUCGCUCCUACCGAGGGGGUGAUCCGGUGAAUGAUUCGGACUUUGGCGUUUCUAGCUGCUAGCAGCGCUGAAGAAAGUUUUGUGAACCUUAUCACUUGGAGGAAGGAGAAGUCGUAACA